AGGAUCAUUACCGAGUGCAGGUCUGCCCCCGGGCAGGCCUAACCUCCCACCCGUGAAUACCUGACCAACGUUGCUUCGGCGGUGCGCCUCCCCCCGGGGGGGCAGCCGCCGGGGACCACACCGAACCUCUUGUCUUUAGUGUUGUCUGAGCUUGAUAGCAAACCUAUUAAAACUUUCAACAAUGGAUCUCUUGGUUCCGGCAUCGAUGAAGAACGCAGCGAACUGCGAUAAGUAAUGUGAAUUGCAGAAUUCAGUGAAUCAUCGAGUCUUUGAACGCACAUUGCGCCCCCUGGCAUUCCGGGGGGCAUGCCUGUCCGAGCGUCAUUGCUGCCCUUCAAGCCCGGCUUGUGUGUUGGGUCGUCGUCCCCCCCGGGGGACGGGCCCGAAAGGCAGCGGCGGCACCGCGUCCGGUCCUCGAGCGUAUGGGGCUUUGUCACCCGCUCGAUAAGGGCCGGCCGGGCGCCAGCCGGCGUCUCCAACCUUCUAUUUUUUACCAGGUUGACCUCGGAUCAGGUAGGGAUACCCGCUGAACUUAA
Molecule: unclassified non-coding RNA, 536 nt
Filed under: Aspergillus carlsbadensis
Lineage: Eukaryota; Fungi; Ascomycota; Eurotiomycetes; Eurotiales; Aspergillaceae
Description: sequence contains 18S rRNA gene, ITS1, 5.8S rRNA gene, ITS2
Rfam family: 5.8S ribosomal RNA (bases 171-324)
Source: RNAcentral